UUAAUUUUGUGUUGAAGUUGGGCUCUGUUCCUUGGGUAGAAAGAGGAUUCUCCCAAGCUUCAGGUUUAUCAUGCUCCUGUUUGAAGAGCUAGUUCUGUGGGUUUGUACUAUUGUGGUAGUGCUUGGCCUCACCCUAAGACUGUGACCCAGAACCUGAUAUCAGCAAUGUAACCUGCAACCAGUGCCAGCAAAAGAUCCCCUGUAAUCUCCUCCCAAGCAGUUGUCUGACUCCCUUACCAUCUAUGGGCUGAGAUCCCUGGAAACUACAGCUGUCAAUUCAGUAGCCCCUUAGGUCUGUGGCUGGCUCUCAGGGGUGUCCUGCACUCCACUCUCACUCUAGUGAGACAGACCUUUCCUUCUCACCUUCUAAGUUUCCUUGAGCUAAAAAAGGUGUAUCAUCUCA
Molecule: long non-coding RNA, 403 nt
Organism: Trichosurus vulpecula (common brushtail)
Lineage: Eukaryota; Metazoa; Chordata; Mammalia; Diprotodontia; Phalangeridae
Exons: 2
Source: RefSeq, a predicted model, not a curated record